RNAcentral lists this transfer RNA (57 nucleotides) under Bos taurus (domestic cattle). RNAcentral also lists the same sequence under 2 other names. Lineage: Eukaryota; Metazoa; Chordata; Mammalia; Artiodactyla; Bovidae. The record is from Rfam by way of RNAcentral.
AGUCCAAUGGUUAAGACUCUGCACUUCAAAUGCAGGGUGAGCGGGUUUGAUCCCUGC